Long non-coding RNA from Zingiber officinale, 245 nucleotides. RefSeq lists it as uncharacterized. The record is from RefSeq and is a predicted model, not a curated record. Lineage: Eukaryota; Viridiplantae; Streptophyta; Magnoliopsida; Zingiberales; Zingiberaceae. The transcript is spliced from 3 exons.
AGCAACCCUCCGGCUUAAGGCGCACGCGAUCUUCUUCUCCGGCAUUCUUCCCACGAUCCACCGAACAAGCUUAAGCUCAGGAUGAGGUGGGAAGAUAAAUUUCAGAUGAUAACGUGAUUAAUGAUGCAAGCUGCGAAGAAGAUAGUUCAUUCGACGAAGAGGACCUAAUCAAGGGUCUCAAAUUCCAACCAAUAUUGAUGGACGGACUAAAAUAAAUGUGGUUAUGAAUAAAUUUGUCGAAAAUA